Molecule: unclassified non-coding RNA, 383 nt
Filed under: uncultured Actinomycetes bacterium
Lineage: Bacteria; Bacillati; Actinomycetota; Actinomycetes
Description: uncultured actinobacterium contains 16S-23S intergenic spacer region
Source: RNAcentral
UCCGAGUUGACCCCGGCAGUCUCUUACGAGUCCCCACCAUAACGUGCUGGCAACAUAAGAUAGGGGUUGUGCUCGUUGCGGGACUUAACCCAACAUCUCACGACACGAGCUGACGACGGCCAUGCAGCACCUGUGUCCUAGUUCUCUUUCGAGCACUUCCACAUCUCUGCUGGAUUUCCGUGUAUGUCAAGCCCAGGUAAGGUUCUUCGCGUCGCAUCGAAUUAAUCCGCAUGCUCCGCCGCUUGUGCGGGCCCCCGUCAAUUCCUUUGAGUUUUAGCCUUGCGGCCGUACUCCCCAGGCGGGGCGCUUAAUGCGUUAGCUGCGGCACGGAUUCCGUGGAAGGAAACCCACACCUAGCGCCCAACGUUUACGGCAUGGACUAC